This 245-nucleotide unclassified non-coding RNA is filed under the name fungal sp. RNAcentral's name for it is "partial internal transcribed spacer region". The stretch from base 1 to 46 matches the Rfam family "Eukaryotic small subunit ribosomal RNA", at positions 1786 to 1831 of the family's 1831-position model. Lineage: Eukaryota; Fungi. The record is from RNAcentral.
AAGUCGUAACAAGGUUUCCGUAGGUGAACCUGCGGAAGGAUCAUUGACAAAUCUAAACAUAUUGUUGCCUGGCGCUUGCGCCGGGUAUACAACAUAUCAACCUGUGAAUAGACAGCGCAAGCUGUUAUCAAGUGUAAAAACUUGAUACAACAUACAUAAACGUCUAAAGAAUGUCUUAACAAAACAAAAAAAGUACAACUUUUAGCAAUGGAUCUCUUGGCUUCUGUAACGAUGAAAAACGCAGC